Molecule: long non-coding RNA, 711 nt
Organism: Zonotrichia leucophrys gambelii
Lineage: Eukaryota; Metazoa; Chordata; Aves; Passeriformes; Passerellidae
Exons: 6
Source: RefSeq, a predicted model, not a curated record
AUCGUAGAAGUCAUCGGCGGCUGUGAAGGAGCAGAGGGAGCCCUCCGUCAUCUCCAUGGGGCCAACAGCCCGCCUUGCCGCCGAGCCAGGGAGAGCGGCCGCCCCGAUGCCCGAAGGUGCCGAGUGCCGCUGGCCUCUCGCCUGGGGGGACAACGGCGCGCCCCGCUGUCCCCGCACACACCGGUGUGAGCUUCUUCCUCACAGGGAAACAGCUCCCAGCCCCUGGACAGAUCUGUCCGCGGCCACAAGGUUAUAAAUGUUGGUGAAAUUUCAGCUUGUUCAAAAUGAGCAGCAGAGCUCUGUCUUCAGUGGGACAAGGGGCUGACUGACAGAAUCGCAAAAGGAUGUGAUUGGAAAGUAAGCUGGGAAGGCAGAAGCAGAUUGUACUUCCUGCGUUGAGAAACAUGGAUAGACUCAUCCUAUGCACACCUGACAGAGGAUAGAGGCUGGGGAAACAGCUGAUUGUGAGUUUAUCUGGAAUUAACAGAACUGUCUUUAGAGGCAGAGGGCUCAGAACAUGUUUGAGCAAAGGAAAAGGGAGAGAAAAAGACUUAAAUUCUUAGAGUGUGUGGAUACAUUUGGUUAGAAGAUGAACAUGAGAAGUCUGAGAAACAGACAUGGCACUACCUCAUGGAAAAAUUAGAGGCAACUUAACUGCUAUGAUGGACAAAAGAGGAGCAUUCUGCAUUAACUAAUUUGGUAGAAGAGAAG